RNAcentral lists this ribosomal RNA (450 nucleotides) under uncultured bacterium. RNAcentral describes it as "partial 16S ribosomal RNA". It matches the Rfam family "Bacterial small subunit ribosomal RNA", at positions 338 to 795 of the family's 1533-position model. The record is from RNAcentral.
GCUACGGGGGGCAGCAGUGGGGAAUUUUGGACAAUGGGCGAAAGCCUGAUCCAGCAAUGCCGCGUGAGUGAAGAAGGCCUUCGGGUUGUAAAGCUCUUUUGUUUGGGAAGAAAUCCCUAAGGAUAAUACCCUUGGGGGAUGACGGUACCAAAAGAAUAAGCACCGGCUAACUACGUGCCAGCAGCCGCGGUAAUACGUAGGGUGCAAGCGUUAAUCGGAAUUAGUGGGCGUGGAUCUUGAAGACACGGUUGAAAUCCCCGAGCUCAACUUGGGAACUGCACUUGUGACUGCAAGACUAGAGUGUGUCAGAGGGAGGUAGAAUUCCACGUGUAGCAGUGAAAUGCGUAGAUAUGUGGAGGAAUACCAGUGGCGAAGGCGGCCUCCUGGGAUAACACUGACGCUCAUGUACGAAAGCGUGGGGAGCAAACAGGAUUAGAUACCCCAGUAGUC